GGGCCCGUGGCUCAGUCAGGCAGAGCGGCGGACUCUUAAUCCGCAUGCCAUGGGUUCAAAUCCCAUCGGGCCCGCCA
This 77-nucleotide transfer RNA is filed under the name Methanocella paludicola SANAE. RNAcentral's name for it is "tRNA-Lys (CTT) (tRNA-Lys-CTT-1-1)". It matches the Rfam family "tRNA". From Rfam's summary of the family: Transfer RNA (tRNA) molecules are approximately 80 nucleotides in length. Lineage: Archaea; Methanobacteriati; Methanobacteriota; Methanomicrobia; Methanocellales; Methanocellaceae. The record is from RNAcentral. RNAcentral also lists the same sequence under 4 other names.